Long non-coding RNA from Suricata suricatta (meerkat), 1056 nucleotides. RefSeq lists it as uncharacterized. The transcript is spliced from 6 exons. Lineage: Eukaryota; Metazoa; Chordata; Mammalia; Carnivora; Herpestidae. The record is from RefSeq and is a predicted model, not a curated record.
GGCAUCCAGGGAUCCCUCAGCUGAGUGGUUCGGUCUCAGGGUGUCCCUCAUGAGUCUGCAGUCAAGUUAUCAGGUCAUCCCUACUUUUAAUGGGAUUGGACUAAAAGAGACAUGAGUGAAUACUAGCAUGUGAGAAGCAGGGGUUGUCACCAUGGACUCUGGGUACCACACAUCAGAGGCAUGCAGGUGAAGAUUCUGAUGAGCUACAGGUACCUACUCACUAGAGUGACAACAAUGGAAAACUCCCAACAGGCCAAGUGUUCUUAGCAAGGAUGAAGAGCACCUGGAACUCUUACACAUGCUAGGAACGUAAUAUGGUAUGAUAUGUCCUCCAAUCUUCAAUUUGGGAAGAUACAGGAAAUGAGACACGAGAGACAUCGAGAGUGCAAAAAGUUAAAAACCACCAGAGAUGUAUGUACGGCAUGACCCGAGAAACCUCAGACACUCACGUUUAUCUGCAUUCAUCGGCACAUUCACUGCAUUUUCUUCCUGUGAGCUAGAACAAGAGGAAUCCAAGCCAUAUAUGUGAAAAUGAGAGGGGCAUUGUUUUAUUUGCCCAGAGGCCAACAGCUUCUUCAGGAUUCUCCACAUCCCAUCCUGUCCAACCCACUACUUCCGGUCUUUGGAAGGACCUAUCUGAAGAACCCUGGACUCCUAGCAACCAUGGAGAAUAGCAAGACGAGCCUGCAGCCUUCCCUGUCUCUUCCUUCAAGUCCAUUGAGCCAGCGCCUUGGAGUUGGUCCCAGCCUUCUAAAGAAAGUCACAUUUGAAUUCUCUUGUUAGAAUUAGAACAUGAUUUCUAGGAGAGUCCCUGAUCUUUCACUAUAUCCCUUCACCUUCAGGGCAAAGCCAGUGGGGUAUGGCACUUCCAGCUAUGACUAUUAGCCCUCAUGCCAGAGACUCCUCUCUGCACCUCAUUGUCUGUAAAACAGAAGGGUUGGAUUUGAUGGUCUUUUUAAACUCUAUGGGAAUCUUUUGGGCACUGACUCCUUCCAACUGCCCGGCCCUACUUCUCUUCUGAAGACUCUGCAUUAAAGCAUUUCUCUGCUUUUAGAA